Molecule: long non-coding RNA, 530 nt
Organism: Synchiropus splendidus (mandarinfish)
Lineage: Eukaryota; Metazoa; Chordata; Actinopteri; Syngnathiformes; Callionymidae
Exons: 4
Source: RefSeq, a predicted model, not a curated record
UAAAGCUCCAAACUGAACGUCAAUUUUCCUAUCAACAUGUGAAGAGUCUGCAGAAUCAAAUCGGGCUCUUUUGCUGCUGCAUUUUGUCAUUUGACAUUUUCUCUGACACACCAGACAGUGUUUGCAUCAUCAUUGCCCAAUAAUCCCUCAACAUUCAGACGAUUAUUGAUUUGUAAUCGCCGAGCGCCUAACUAGCUCCUGAGAGACACUGUAAAAGGCCUCCUGGAAGAGUUGAGUCAAACGUCCACUCGAACAUUGGCCAAGAUGCAGUCCCUGGGAGUGAAGCUGGUCGCUCUGGCCCUGGUCAUGAUGCUGGUGUCCAGCGCUCUGGCUGGACCUGUUGCUCAUUCACCUGUCAAGCGCUCUGAUGAGAGAAAUGAAAACACCGGCACUGCCACCAACACCAACACCGCCGCCGUUGACACUUUGCUGACUCCAGCUCAGAUCCAGCACCUAUUGACCGUGCUGUUGAAUACAAUGAACUGAAUGAAUACAGUGUACUAAAACUGUAAAAAUAAACUGAGAUCAUA